AGUGAACGCUGGCGGUAGGCCUAACACAUGCAAGUCGAACGGCAGCACAGUAAGAGCUUGCUCUUACGGGUGGCGAGUGGCGGACGGGUGAGGAAUACAUCGGAAUCUACCUUUUCGUGGGGGAUAACGUAGGGAAACUUACGCUAAUACCGCAUACGACCUACGGGUGAAAGCAGGGGAUCUUCGGACCUUGCGCGAUUGAAUGAGCCGAUGUCGGAUUAGCUAGUUGGCGGGGUAAAGGCCCACCAAGGCGACGAUCCGUAGCUGGUCUGAGAGGAUGAUCAGCCACACUGGAACUGAGACACGGUCCAGACUCCUACGGGAGGCAGCAGUGGGGAAUAUUGGACAAUGGGCGCAAGCCUGAUCCAGCCAUACCGCGUGGGUGAAGAAGGCCUUCGGGUUGUAAAGCCCUUUUGUUGGGAAAGAAAGGCAGCAGGUUAAUACCCCGCUGUUCUGACGGUACCCAAAGAAUAAGCACCGGCUAACUUCGUG
This 492-nucleotide ribosomal RNA is filed under the name uncultured bacterium. RNAcentral describes it as "partial 16S ribosomal RNA". It matches the Rfam family "Bacterial small subunit ribosomal RNA", at positions 29 to 507 of the family's 1533-position model. The record is from RNAcentral.